This 961-nucleotide long non-coding RNA is filed under the name Homo sapiens (human). RNAcentral's name for it is "PCBP1 antisense RNA 1". Lineage: Eukaryota; Metazoa; Chordata; Mammalia; Primates; Hominidae. The record is from RNAcentral.
UGGGCUAAGCCAGACCAGAAAGGGCCCCGUGCGCAACGUGCUUCACAAUCUCUCAGGGAAAGCGGCUAACGUGGCGCUACUCCGCCUCCCCUGUUCCUUACCCUUGGGGCGGCCGCCAUGUUUCCUGAACACAAAAUGGCGACACGUGAGGAAGACAAACAUAAAGAUGAAGUGCUUAAUUCAAGGUCACACAAUGUCGGGGAUGGACCUCCAGAUUUCCUUACUGGUGAGACGUGGUCUUGUAACACAGUGGUUAAGAAUGUGACUUUGGAGCCAGCCUGCUAGGGGCUGAAUUCUGACUCAGCCAUUUACUAACUGUGUGACCUUAGGUGGAGUCUCACUCUGUAGCCCAAGCUGGAGUGGCGUGAUCUCGACUCACUGCAACCUCCGCCUCCUGGGAUCAAGUGAUUCUCGUGCCUCAGCCUCCUGAGUAGCCGGGACUACAGAGAUGAGAUUUCACCAUAUUACCCAGGCUGUUCUUGAACUCCUAGGCUCAAGUGAUUUGUCUGCCUCGGCCUCCCAAAGUGUUGGGAUUACAGGUCACAGAAUUUUCCACACUCCUUGACAGAGGUGCUUAACCCUUAUCCAUCAGCAUUCUCAGACAGCACCUCCGGUUAGGGACAGUAUCUGACCGUCCGACAUCCCUGCAGCCCCCAUGUGUCACACAGACUCAGCCUCAGGUAGAUGGUUUCCGUAGAUGGUGGCUUUCUUUGGACCCUUGACAUCAACCAGUUACUAUUUGGGGACCAGAUGUGCAGAGGUAAUGAAUACCAGGGAAUCAGGAAACCACUGGAUCAGUUCUUUGAGCCACAGAACAACACUCAUCCCAGCAGCUGGGAAGCUAUCUGCAAAAGUCCAUCUGCAGAAAGGGCUUCCUGGUCUUGCGUGUGGCUGGGCCAUUUCUCUGGAUGCAGGUUUUUCAUUAUACAGUCUUCUCAAAGAACCACCUGCUCUCAACACC